GGAGGUAUAGCUCUGUGGUAGAGUGCAUUCCUAGCAUGUACAAGGCCCUGGGUUCAAUCCCCAGUACCUCCG
Molecule: transfer RNA, 72 nt
Organism: Camelus ferus (Wild Bactrian camel)
Lineage: Eukaryota; Metazoa; Chordata; Mammalia; Artiodactyla; Camelidae
Rfam family: tRNA
About the family: Transfer RNA (tRNA) molecules are approximately 80 nucleotides in length.
Source: Rfam